GGGUUGUGAGGUUAAGCGACUAAGCGUACACGGUGGAUGCCCUGGCAGUCAGAGGCGAUGAAGGACGUGCUAAUCUGCGAUAAGCGUCGGUAAGGUGAUAUGAACCGUUAUAACCGGCGAUUUCCGAAUGGGGAAACCCAAGUGUGAUUCGUCACACUAUCAUUAACUGAAUCCAUAGGUUAAUGAGGCGAACCGGGGGAACUGAAACAUCUAAGUACCCCGAGGAAAAGAAAUCAACCGAGAUUCCCCCAGUAGCGGCGAGCGAACGGGGAGCAGCCCAGAGUCUGAAUCAGUGUGUGUGUUAGUGGAAGCGUCUGGAAAGGCGCGCGAUACAGGGUGACAGCCCCGUACACAAAAAUGCACAUGCUGUGAGCUCGAUGAGUAGGGCGGGACACGUGGUAUCCUGUCUGAAUAUGGGGGGACCAUCCUCCAAGGCUAAAUACUCCUGACUGACCGAUAGUGAACCAGUACCGUGAGGGAAAGGCGAAAAGAACCCCGGCGAGGGGAGUGAAAAAGAACCUGAAACCGUGUACGUACAAGCAGUGGGAGCACGCUUAGGCGUGUGACCGCGUACCUUUUGUAUAAUGGGUCAGCGACUUAUAUUCUGUAGCAAGGUUAACCGAAUAGGGGAGCCGAAGGGAAACCGAGUCUUAACUGGGCGUUAAGUUGCAGGGUAUAGACCCGAAACCCGGUGAUCUAGCCAUGGGCAGGUUGAAGGUUGGGUAACACUAACUGGAGGACCGAACCGACUAAUGUUGAAAAAUUAGCGGAUGACUUGUGGCUGGGGGUGAAAGGCC
This 797-nucleotide ribosomal RNA is filed under the name Escherichia coli. Its description in RNAcentral is "bacterial LSU rRNA". It matches the Rfam family "Bacterial large subunit ribosomal RNA", at positions 1 to 830 of the family's 2925-position model. Lineage: Bacteria; Pseudomonadati; Pseudomonadota; Gammaproteobacteria; Enterobacterales; Enterobacteriaceae. The record is from RNAcentral.